RNAcentral lists this ribosomal RNA (600 nucleotides) under uncultured Actinobacteridae bacterium. RNAcentral describes it as "bacterial SSU rRNA". It matches the Rfam family "Bacterial small subunit ribosomal RNA", at positions 252 to 866 of the family's 1533-position model. The record is from RNAcentral. Lineage: Bacteria; Bacillati; Actinomycetota; Actinomycetes.
GUGAGGUAACGGCUCACCAAGGCAUCGACGGGUAGCUGGUCUGAGAGGACGAUCAGCCACACUGGGACUGAGACACGGCCCAGACUCCUACGGGAGGCAGCAGUGGGGAAUCUUGCGCAAUGGGCGAAAGCCUGACGCAGCGAUGCCGCGUGGGGGAUGAAGGCUCUCGGGUCGUAAACCCCUUUCAGCAGGGACGAAAAUGACGGUACCUGCAGAAGAAGCCCCGGCCAACUACGUGCCAGCAGCCGCGGUAACACGUAGGGGGCGAGCGUUGUCCGGAUUUAUUGGGCGUAAAGAGCUCGUAGGCUGUUCAGUAAGUCAGGUGUGAAAACCCAAGGCUCAACCUUGGGACGCCACUUGAUACUGCUGUGACUAGAGUCCGGUAGAGGAGAUUGGAAUUCCUGGUGUAGCGGUGAAAUGCGCAGAUAUCAGGAGGAACACCAACGGCGAAGGCAGAUCUCUGGGCCGGUACUGACGCUGAGGAGCGAAAGCGUGGGGAGCGAACAGGAUUAGAUACCCUGGUAGUCCACGCCGUAAACGUUGGGCACUAGGUGUGGGGUCUAUUCAACGGAUUCCGUGCCGUAGCUAACGCAUUAAGUG